UGGUUUAUGUUCCAAAUGAUUUAUCGCCGUAGGAUGGGACUGCGGCCUAUCAGUUUGUUGGUGAGGUAAUGGCCCACCAAGACUAUUACAGGUACGGGCUCUGAGAGGAGUGGCCCGGAGAUGGGUACUGAGACACGGACCCAGGCCCUAUGGGGCGCAGCAGGCGAGAAAACUUUGCAAUGUGCGAAAGCACGACAAGGUUAAUCCGAGUGGUUUGUGCUAAACGAACCUUUUGUCAGUCCUAGAAACACUAACGAAUAAGGGGUGGGCAAGUUCUGGUGUCAGCCGCCGCGGUAAAACCAGCACCUCAAGUGGUCAGGAUGAUUAUUGGGCCUAAAGCAUCCGUAGCCGGCUCUGUAAGUUUUCGGUUAAAUCUGUACGCUUAACGUACAGGCUGCCGGGAAUACUGCAGAGCUAGGGAGUGGGAGAGGUAGACGGUACUCGAUAGGAAGGGGUAAAAUCCUUUGAUCUAUUGAUGACCACCUGUGGCGAAGGCGGUCUACCAGAACACGUCCGACGGUGAGGGAUGAAAGCUGGGGGAGCAAACCGGAUUAGAUACCCGGAUAGUCCCAGCUGU
This 577-nucleotide ribosomal RNA is filed under the name uncultured archaeon. RNAcentral describes it as "bacterial SSU rRNA". It matches the Rfam family "Archaeal small subunit ribosomal RNA", at positions 176 to 754 of the family's 1478-position model. The record is from RNAcentral.